CCCAAGUCCAUCACAUCUGAUAACCACUGUCAGGCUAGACAGUGGACUCAUGGUGCUCUCAGGGCGACCUCACAGGGGCUUGGCCGUGGCACUGAGGGGAGAGCCUGAUUGGCUGGCUGUUUCAUUGCCAGAUCUCUGAAGGCCAAUCAGGAUUUGUAGCUCAGCCACCUGCUUUCUGAGGAGCACUGAGCAAGAUGGCCACCUCCUGGUGGUAAGUCUCGCUCCUGGAGUUCCCAUCUUGACCCUACAGCGGGACAUUUUGCCGCCACCUCUUUGUGUGUUGGGAAGAUGACGUCCUUUCUGCUCGUCCUGCUUCUCUGAUUGAUCUGUGUCUCUGGAGAUCCCUUUGCUCAGCCAUCAGAUCAAGCAGGCAUCCAUGGUUCAGAAUGCAGGUGAUGACCUGGGCAAGAGCUCACCAGUAAGGAGCAAAGGGGCCCGCCUGCCACUCUUAAGCAGAGCGCCUGCUGAAUCAGGAUUUCCAAGGCUCCGGCUGAGUGCCUGGCUGGGGGCUGUGUGUGCAGAUGCCACAAGAUGGACAAGACUGAGGACGCAGAUUUCCUACAACAGCAGACUUCUGAUGCCCAGGCCUCAGUUCUGAACUCUGGAGGCUACAACCUGGCCUGCUUAUAGACGGUGGACCAAAUGAAGAUGAGGAAACUGAAGCAACUGUUCAAGAAGAGGAUAUAAAAAGGGACAGGCAUUGAUGAUGAUAUCAGAGCUUCUUCCUGGGGAAUCUCAGCCUCACAUGAUGGAGUAUGACUAAAGGAAAAAAAUAAGGCUCUUCACAUACUUUCUUGGCAGUCUGUGAGGGUCAGGGUUGAUUUUGUGUCCCUAAAAUGUCACAUGAAGUUCAUAGGCACUUCCAAAGGGGCAGUCUAGCAAGUUAAAGAGUAGAUGUGGGGCUGUGUGGAGUCCAUUGUUUGGGUAAUCUUUUUCAAACAGUAGGAAUAUACCAGCUUGUAAAGAUUUGCCCACUUAGCUUCAAGUCUCUCUGAACACAUUUCCCCCCGCUCUAUGAAUAGAUGAAGACAUACAAAUGGAACUCUUGAUAUUCUUAAGUGAAAAACAUGAUAUGGAAUAGCAGAUAAAUACAAACAAUUUCUUAUCCAGCAAAGAGCUCCAGAAAUAUUUUGACUUCAUUUAAAACAGUUAUAUAAAUAUUUGCUGGUGGAAUUUUUUUCUAAACCAAAUACCCUGAAGGAUUUUAGUUGUCUAUCUACAACUUUUUGCUUGUGGAAAAUGUUGACUUCCUGGUUACUUUGACUUGUGUUCACCUGAAAUUUUGCUUUUGCAGUAGUUUUUCUUAUGAUUUAGUGGCAUUGCCUGUCCAGUGACAGGAAGUGGUGUUCUUAUUGGGACUAAUAUGUGUUAUGGCCCUAGAACCAGCAGAAGCCACUCCUGCUUUUUUCCACACUCUUCUUUCUAUAGAAGAGAAGGGAAUGAGGAUCCCACAUGGCAUUCACUGCCUUGAGCAUACUGAGAUUUCUUUGCAAAAGGAGAAACAGCACCAGCAACUAAGCAUUUUAUCCCAUUUUAUUUUACUUCUUCUAUGAUUCUUUGCCACUUAGCAAUGCCAAUUAAUUGAUUUGGGACUGGAAAUACAUUUCUUAUACAAUCUUCAAGUUUUCUUUCAUAAGAACAUAACUUUCAUCUGAUAUUGUUCCCCACUUCUCUCUUUUCAAAUGUAAUAUUUGGGCCAGUCCUUGAAAGUGAACUGAGUUGAGUUCUCAUGGCCCAUAAAAGAACAUAUUCAAAAUGUAUCAUUUUCUUUAUGUCACAGAUAAAAGAUCAUUAAUUGUAUAUAAAAUUUCCAUAUAAUUUUUAAAAUUUUUAUUUUGCAAUAAUUUAUUUUAGAUUUACAUUAAAGUUGCAAGGAAGGU
This 1880-nucleotide long non-coding RNA is filed under the name Homo sapiens (human). RNAcentral describes it as "HSALNT0087803". Lineage: Eukaryota; Metazoa; Chordata; Mammalia; Primates; Hominidae. The record is from RNAcentral.